GUGUCUUGCACGGUGCAUUCAUCAAAGGUACUGUAUUUCAGAAUGAGAUCAACCAGCAUUUAAACGUUUUUCAAAUCUUUCUGUGCAUUGCACGGUGUCUUCUUCCAGCGCCGAAAACUUGGGCAACUAAAUGUAACCAAUGCUAACAAAAGCCGAUGCUAGUUCAGGACCGAGGAGUACACAUUUCUCCGUGUAACUGCAGAAGGGGAGGACAUUUUGUCAGGUUGAACCAGCUUGGCCUUCUUUUGCUGCCUCUUGCUGCUGCUUCUCUGCCCAGUACUUCUGAAGCGGUGGCCCAAAUAUAACAUUCCCAGAAAUCACUCCGAUCCUGUAACAAUUGUAUAUGAAAGAAUAACUAACAACAUCAACACAAGAUUAUGCUGCCAACAUAAUAAGUAGAUAUGCAACUGCGACUGUAGCCAGCGAGCACAUAAGAAACAGGACUUCCUUUGACAAAGACAACUCAGGAAAUAAAACAGAAAUGGGCAGUGGGCACAAAACAAUAAUUUCCAUGUACAAUCAGCACAAGGAAACACCACUUGCAAGAUAAAUUAUAUAUUUAUGUGGAUGCAAAAGCCAAAAAAAAAUCUUCAUGUUAUUGUCGCAGGAGUACAAAUGUUACUGCAAGCUGGGUGCUGGACUUCAUGAGUUGCCAACUCCCAAAUUUAUAUAUGAUGGCGACUCUGUUACCCUUAGUUUCAGAUUCCAAGAGAAGUUUUCAUCAAAUGAUCUACUGAAAAAACCCGUGUCCACACUACACGCUUAGUCUUUAUAAUCAAUAACAACUACAUGAAGUAAUCGAAGGACCAUGCACUGUUCGAUCAUGUUGCAGUCCACAAAGUUCUUUAAUGUCGAAAGGCUCUCAACUUUUACAAUAUCUAGAUUGAAAUCAAAUAUAAAUGAUGCAUCUGCAGUUAUGCACAUAAAAGCUAUCAUGAAUGCACACACCACACCUACUCCAAAACAAUAAUUGCCAUGUACAAUCAGCACAAGGAAACACCACUUGCAAGAUAAAUUAUAUAUUUAUGUGGAUGCAAAAGCCAAAAAAAAUCUUCAUGCUAUUGUCGCAGAAGUACAAAUGAUACUGCACGCUGGGUGCUGGACUUCAUGAGUUGCCAACUCCCAAAUUUAUAUAUGAUGGCGACUCUGUUACCCUUAGUUUCAGAUUCCAAGAGAAGUUUUCAUCAAAUGAUCUACUGAAAAAACUCGUGUCCACACUACACGCUUAGUCUUUAUAAUCAAUAACAACUACAUGAAGUAAUCGAAGGACCAUGCACUGUUCGAUCAUGUUGCAGUCCACAAAGUUCUUUAAUGUUGAAAGGCUCUCAACUUUUACAAUAUCUAGAUUGAAAUCAAAUAUAAAUGAUGCAUCUGCAGUUAUCCACAUAAAAGCUAUCAUGAAUGCACACACACACCUACUCCAAAGAAAAAUUCCUAAAGCUAAAGUUGUGCCAAGGCCAAAGGUUAGAAACUCAUGCUGUAGCCUUGUGGGAUAUCAGAAACUCAGCCAUGCACAGAAGAUGUCGUAUCAUUUCAAC
RNAcentral lists this long non-coding RNA (1538 nucleotides) under Zea mays. RNAcentral's name for it is "long non-coding RNA (ZMAY_LNC002926)". The record is from RNAcentral. Lineage: Eukaryota; Viridiplantae; Streptophyta; Magnoliopsida; Poales; Poaceae.